This 405-nucleotide long non-coding RNA is filed under the name Oryza brachyantha (malo sina). RNAcentral's name for it is "long non-coding RNA (OBRA_LNC000595)". Lineage: Eukaryota; Viridiplantae; Streptophyta; Magnoliopsida; Poales; Poaceae. The record is from RNAcentral.
CCCCUGCAGACAAUAAAAAUUGCUACUAGCUAGUAGUAGUACAAAAUUUGGAUUUUGUAUUGCAAUUAAAGAUAAUUACGUGCAAAUAUGAAUAUAUGUGCAAAUAAGUUACAAUGACCACACAUUUCCCCAUCAAAUCGGUGCUUACAUCCUGGUAACUGACCCUACCAAAUGCUCACUAUUGCUAGCUAAGUUACUACUCUACUGAUUGGUACUCACAGGCCAAAUCUAAAAAAUAAUUAAGCCUAUGGCUAGAUGAAAACCAGGAAAAGGGGAAGAAAAGAAAUCAAUAGAGCUUAACCAAUAUAAGUUUGCACAUUGGUUAAUGUCUAAUAAUGAAUUCUUUUUUUCUCGCUCUCUGUCUCUUGGUUCAGGCCAGAGUUAGUGCGCAAGCCACUACGCCAA